GGCUACUGUGGUUAUUUGAUCAUAAUCUAGGCCUACUAGAGUAGCCUACCAUCAAAAACAACAUGCAUCCCAUAAUAUUUUAACACGGAAAUAGCUGUUACAUCAUUCAGCCUACAGUAGUAGCCAAUGUGCGGUGUUCAAUGUAGAUCUACAUUCCAUGAGACUUUUGAAGAAAAACAUACAGGGCUUGACAUGAACCUGUUAAUCCACUUGUCCUUCAGACAAGGAGGGGACUGAACAUGUUGUUAGAUGUGAGAACCACUUUACCAUAGGGUUAAAGGUCAGGGUUAAUGAAGAAAAACAUACAGGGCUUCACAUGAACCUGUUAAUCCACCUGUCCUUCAGACAAGGAGGGGACUGAACAUGUUGUUUGAUGUGAGAACCACUUUACCAUAGGGUUAAAGGUCAGGGUUCAUGUGUAUCUCUGUCUCUCUCCAGACAAGGAGGGGACUGAACAUGUUGUUAGAUGUGAGAACCACUUUACCAUAGGGUUAAAGGUCAGGGUUAAUGUGUAUCUCUGUCUCUCUCCAGAUCUGAGGGUUAAAGGUCAGGGUUCAUGUGUAUCUCUGUCUCUCUCCAGACAAGGAGGGGACUGAACAUGUUGUUAGAUGUGAGAACCACUUUAC
This is a non-coding RNA of Oncorhynchus mykiss (rainbow trout), 626 nucleotides long. The record is from RefSeq and is a predicted model, not a curated record. Lineage: Eukaryota; Metazoa; Chordata; Actinopteri; Salmoniformes; Salmonidae.